GACUCGUCACACUAUCAUUAACUGAAUCCAUAGGUUAAUGAGGCGAACCGGGGGAACUGAAACAUCUAAGUACCCCGAGGAAAAGAAAUCAACCGAGAUUCCCCCAGUAGCGGCGAGCGAACGGGGAGGAGCCCAGAGCCUGAAUCAGCAUGUGUGUUAGUGGAAGCGUCUGGAAAGGCGCGCGAUACAGGGUGACAGCCCCGUACACAAAAGCGCAUGUGCUGUGAGCUCGAUGAGUAGGGCGGGACACGUGGUAUCCUGUCUGAAUAUGGGGGGACCAUCCUCCAAGGCUAAAUACUCCUGACUGACCGAUAGUGAACCAGUACCGUGAGGGAAAGGCGAAAAGAACCCCGGCGAGGGGAGUGAAAAAGAACCUGAAACCGUGUACGUACAAGCAGUGGGAGCACCCUUUGGGGUGUGACUGCGUACCUUUUGUAUAAUGGGUCAGCGACUUAUAUUCUGUAGCAAGGUUAACCGAAUAGGGGAGCCGGAGGGAAACCGAGUCUUAAUUGGGCGUUAAGUUGCAGGGUAUAGACCCGAAACCCGGUGAUCUAGCCAUGGGCAGGUUGAAGGUUGGGUAACACUAACUGGAGGACCGAACCGACUAAUGUUGAAAAAUUAGCGGAUGACCUGUGGCUGGGGGUGAAAGGCCAAUCAAACCGGGAGAUAGCUGGUUCUCCCCGAAAGCUAUUUAGGUAGCGCCUCGUGAAUUCAUCUCCGGGGGUAGAGCACUGUUUCGGCUAGGGGGCCAUCCCGGCUUACCAACCCGAUGCAAACUGCGAAUACCGGAGAAUGUUAUCACGGGAGACACACGGCGGGUGCUAACGUCCGUCGUGAAGAGGGAAACAACCCAGACCGCCAGCUAAGGUCCCAAAGUCAUGGUUAAGUGGGAAACGAUGUGGGAAGGCCCAGACAGCCAGGAUGUUGGCUUAGAAGCAGCCAUCAUUUAAAGAAAGCGUAAUAGCUCACUGGUCGAGUCGGCCUGCGCGGAAGAUGUAACGGGGCUAAACCAUGCACCGAAGCUGCGGCAGCGACACUCAGGUGUUGUUGGGUAGGGGAGCGUUCUGUAAGCCUGCGAAGGUGGCCUGUGAGGGUUGCUGGAGGUAUCAGAAGUGCGAAUGCUGACAUAAGUAACGAUAAAGCGGGUGAAAAGCCCGCUCGCCGGAAGACCAAGGGUUCCUGUCCAACGUUAAUCGGGGCAGGGUGAGUCGACCCCUAAGGCGAGGCCGAAAGGCGUAGUCGAUGGGAAACGGGUUAAUAUUCCCGUACUUGGUGUUACUGCGAAGGGGGGACGGAGAAGGCUAUGUUGGCCGGGCGACGGUUGUCCCGGUUUAAGCGUGUAGGUGUGUGUUCCAGGUAAAUCCGGUUCACUUUAACACUGAGGCGUGACGACGAGGCACUACGGUGCUGAAGCAACAAAUGCCCUGCUUCCAGGAAAAGCCUCUAAGCAUCAGGUAACAUCAAAUCGUACCCCAAACCGACACAGGUGGUCAGGUAGAGAAUACCAAGGCGCUUGAGAGAACUCGGGUGAAGGAACUAGGCAAAAUGGUGCCGUAACUUCGGGAGAAGGCACGCUGACACGUAGGUGAAGUGAUUUACUCACGGAGCUGAAGUCAGUCGAAGAUACCAGCUGGCUGCAACUGUUUAUUAAAAACACAGCACUGUGCAAACACGAAAGUGGACGUAUACGGUGUGACGCCUGCCCGGUGCCGGAAGGUUAAUUGAUGGGGUCAGCGCAAGCGAAGCUCCUGAUCGAAGCCCCGGUAAACGGCGGCCGUAACUAUAACGGUCCUAAGGUAGCGAAAUUCCUUGUCGGGUAAGUUCCGACCUGCACGAAUGGCGUAAUGAUGGCCAGGCUGUCUCCACCCGAGACUCAGUGAAAUUGAACUCGCUGUGAAGAUGCAGUGUACCCGCGGCAAGACGGAAAGACCCCGUGAACCUUUACUAUAGCUUGACACUGAACAUUGAGCCUUGAUGUGUAGGAUAGGUGGGAGGCUUUGAAGUGUGGACGCCAGUCUGCAUGGAGCCGACCUUGAAAUACCACCCUUUAAUGUUUGAUGUUCUAACGUGGACCCGU
Molecule: ribosomal RNA, 2077 nt
Filed under: Salmonella enterica
Lineage: Bacteria; Pseudomonadati; Pseudomonadota; Gammaproteobacteria; Enterobacterales; Enterobacteriaceae
Description: partial 23S ribosomal RNA
Rfam family: Bacterial large subunit ribosomal RNA
Source: RNAcentral